CGGCGGGGGGGAGGGAGCACGGGGGAGGGAGGUAGCCCAGCUGUGGAGUUCUCAGCUCUGGUGUGCCCAGGAGGACGGACCUGUAGCUCAGGACGCAGGUGACGAAAUGUGGAGUCCUAACUUUGAAGAGCAGAGGUGUGCUGAUUUCGUUUGCUAAGAGCUGGUAGCUGAUGAGAAGAAAGAUGAGUGCAAACAGUGUCUGGAAUUCCACAGGCCUUCGUCCAAGACUCGCUGUUCGCCACUCACCCUCUCCAUCCGUGCAGCUAGGCCCGGUUCUAAAAUUCUGUGAGCCUGAGGCUGCGCAUGCAGUGGCACGUGCUUGACUAAGAAUAGAACUCCGAUGACUUGAAAUGCCACUUUCCGGUGGGGCAGCCAGGCACACACCGCCAAGGCUCAGAGGACCUGCCAGGGAGGAGACGGAAGAAAUGGAAGGAGCGCAUAGCCAGAGGAAGGCGUUGUCUUCCGAAGCUGUGCCAGAUUUUGUCCAACACAUUUCAGGAUUGUGACAAGGAAAUCGGGAGCCAACUCAAGGAGUGGGAGAAAGCUGGGGUAUGGUGGCUCAGGGUUGUUAUCCCGGCAGGAGGCUGAGGCAGGUGGAUUGCUGUAAGUGCAAAGCCAGGCUGAGCUACAUAAUGAGGCCUUGUCCCAAACAAACAAAAACAGCAGUGUGAGCAAAUAGCAUCCUUUGAAGGCUGCUCGGUGCUGAACCAAAAAGUCACUCUAGAGAGUCUGUCAGAUUCUCCGGAAGCCCAUUUCUCAUUCUGAAGGUAUGGGACACCCCAGAGUGUGGACAGAAUAGACUCUUGGAACUGUGUUGGACCCCAGACCUUAGAAAGCACCCCUCGCCAUGGGACAGCAGAGAGGAGGGGAGAGAAUCCAGGGCUCUUGUGUUUUUUUACCCAAUUGUCACGUCACCUCAAUAAAGUUUCAUCUCAAGGCUUA
Peromyscus leucopus (white-footed mouse) is the source of this 942-nucleotide long non-coding RNA. RefSeq lists it as uncharacterized. NCBI's taxonomy places the organism in Eukaryota, Metazoa, Chordata, Mammalia, Rodentia, Cricetidae. The record is from RefSeq and is a predicted model, not a curated record. The transcript has 2 exons.